CCUACGGAGGCAGCAGUAAGGAAUAUUGGACAAUGGUCGCAAGACUGAUCCAGCCAUGCCGCGUGCAGGAUGACUGCCCUAUGGGUUGUAAACUGCUUUUGUACGGGAAUAAACCCCUCUACGUGUAGAGGGCUGAAUGUACCGUAAGAAUAAGGGUCGGCUAACUUCGUGCCAGCAGCCGCGGUAAGACGAAGGACCCAAGCGUUAUCCGGAUUCAUUGGGUUUAAAGGGUGCGUAGGCGGAUUGAUAAGUCAGUGGUGAAAGCCUGUUGCUUAACAACAGAACUGCCAUUGAUACUGUUGAUCUUGAAUAUGUUUGAUGUGGGCGGAAUAUGACAUGUAGCGGUGAAAUGCUUAGAUAUGUCAUAGAACACCGAUUGCGAAGGCAGCUCACAAAGCCAUUAUUGACGCUGAGGCACGAAAGCGUGGGGAUCAAACAGGAUUAGAUACCCUGGUAGUCCACGCUGUAAACUUUGAUCACUCGCUGUUGGCGAUACACAGUCAGCGGCUAAGCGAAAGCGUUAAAGUGAUCCCACCGUCGGGAGGUACGAGUCGCGAAGAGUUAGUAAACGUACGAAAGGAAAGUUAGACGGCGUUGGAGGACGNGCCGACGGACGACGACGAGGGAGGAGGG
RNAcentral lists this ribosomal RNA (633 nucleotides) under uncultured bacterium. Its description in RNAcentral is "bacterial SSU rRNA". The stretch from base 1 to 536 matches the Rfam family "Bacterial small subunit ribosomal RNA", at positions 338 to 873 of the family's 1533-position model. The record is from RNAcentral.